UCCAAAAGAAGUUAAACCAAAAGAAGUUAAAUUAAAAGCGCCCAUCCAUAAAAAAAAGUGAGGGUGAACAAAGGCCUCCUGUUGUGAAUCGUCGCAUUUUUGUAAGAAAAAUAAUCAUAUUCAAAACGUAAUAAUCACUUUUAUCUAGCUUGCGCUCACGGUUGUAAAACGCAAGCAGUUCCGGGUGAAUGGCGUAUGGAGGACCCCAGCCGGCACAUGACCGACCUUCAACGUUGAAAUAUGGUUGAAAUAAGGUCAGUUGUGGUUUCAACGUUGAAACAACGUUGAUUCAACGUUUAAAGCUGAAUGGUUGAAAAACAUCCAGCACAUGACCAACUUUCAAUGUUGAAAUAUGGUUGAAAUAAGGUCAGUUGUGGUUUCAACGUUGAAACAACGUUGAUUCAACGUUUAAAGCUGAAUGGUUGAAAAACAUCCAGCACAUGACCAACUUUCAACGUUGAAAUAUGGUUGAAAUAAGGUCAGUUGUUUUAAUAAAACAACGUUAAAAAUGUUUAAUGCUAAAUGGUAGAAAAAGGUUAACAAGCUUUUAAAUUAUUUAUAUUAAAUUAUUUAAAUUAAUUAUUAUUUUAAUAGCAUUUAAAAAUAUUUUAGUCAUGAUACCUAUUCUAAAAUGUUAAAUAUUAUCAUCAUUAACAACAAUAAAACUAUACAUUUCGCUGCUUUAUCACACUGAAACAACUCCCAUUGGUAGUUUUAUUUUAUUACUUCUAUCGUGAUUGGUUAAUCUGGCUGUCAUUCAAGAAACUGGACAAUGAAUCGGUUCGCGCUUUUCUACAUUUAAAAAUAUGACCGUUAUUGUCGUCUUUCUGUGAGUGAGGCGGCUAACUGUGAGCUGCUGCUCGUUAUAACUGACUGCUCGGUCGGUCCCGAAUUAUGUCAUAUUUGCCUGUAUAUUUUUUAUUUAUUUCGAGCGAAUUUGAGUCGUGACAUGUCAAUGGAGAACAAAAACUGUGAACACAAGAAGGGUCAGGUGUUCUGCGAGGUCCUGAAAACAUCCUGUCAAAAUGAGAUGAUCAAGUUAGAUGCUCACCUAAUGUGUUGCUGAGUCAUCGAGGAUCCAGCUUGUUCUUUAAACAUUGGUAAGAAAUUGUUCUUCUGCUACAUUGCACUGUCACUUCUGCUAGAGAUGCUUUGACCUUUUGUGAUAGGUUUUGGUUGUGCUUAGUUUAAUAAAAAUGUACUGAAUUUGAUUUGACUUGUUUUACUACACUGUAAUGUUAGUGUUCUGAUUAAAACAGUGUAACUGGGGGCUCUGAAAACACUGCUUGUGAAUAAUGUGUUAAUAUUGUACAUUUUCAUCUGAAUACAUUAAAUAAGUGUUUAAUGAAUAGUGUUGUCCACUUUGUUUCCAACCUCACUGUUACUGAACUGUAAAGUGAAAAUAUUGUGUGAUUUAUUUUGCAUUCAGUUUUCAUUUAAAUAUAUUUCACAAUAUCAAAGUUAUUGUCAAACAUUGUGAACAUACCU
Molecule: long non-coding RNA, 1488 nt
Filed under: Carassius auratus (goldfish)
Lineage: Eukaryota; Metazoa; Chordata; Actinopteri; Cypriniformes; Cyprinidae
Description: lncRNA (ENSCARG00000066960.1)
Source: RNAcentral